UACGUAGGGUGCUAGCGUUAUCCGGAUUUAUUGGGUUUAAAAGGUGCGUAGGCGGCUUUUUAAGUCAGCGGUGAAAUUUUGCAGCUUAACUGUAACAGUGCCGUUGAUACUGGGGAGCUAGGAUUUGGUUGCUGUGGGUGGAAUGUGUGGUGUAGCGGUGAAAUGCUUAGAGAUCACACAGAAUAUCGAUUGCGAAGGCAGCUCACAAAGCCAAGAUUGACGCUGAGGCACGAAAGUGUGGGGAUCAAACAGGAUUAGAUA
Molecule: ribosomal RNA, 261 nt
Filed under: uncultured prokaryote
Description: partial 16S ribosomal RNA
Rfam family: Bacterial small subunit ribosomal RNA
Source: RNAcentral